This 467-nucleotide ribosomal RNA is filed under the name Blastocystis sp. RNAcentral describes it as "SSU rRNA". It matches the Rfam family "Eukaryotic small subunit ribosomal RNA", at positions 473 to 954 of the family's 1831-position model. The record is from RNAcentral. Lineage: Eukaryota; Bigyra; Opalinata; Blastocystidae.
AUAAAUCACAAUGCGGAACAUUUGUUUUGCAAUUGGAUUGAGAACAACGCACAACACUUAUCGAUAAACAAUUGGAGGGCAAGUCUGGUGCCAGCAGCCGCGGUAAUUCCAGCUCCAAUAGCGUAUAUUAACGUUGUUGCAGUUAAAAAGCUCGUAGUUGAAGUGAAGUAUGAAACCUUAACGUUUUCAUUUGAAUUCGUUUUGGUUUGAUACUCUUUCCAAUUUGUGUGCAUGGGUAUUCAUUUAUCUGUGUAGGCAUUUGGUCAUUUACUGUGAGAAAAUUAGAGUGUUCAAAGCAUACGUUUGUUUGAAUACAUUAGCAUGGAAUAAUUCGAAAAGGCUUUCAUGUUCGAUUUGAUUGGUUUGUUCGUGAAGGCAAGAUUAAAAGGGACAGUUGGGGGUAUUCAUAUUCAAUAGUCAGAGGUGAAAUUCUCGGAUUUAUGGAAGAUGAACAAGUGCGAAAGCAA